UUAAUAUUAAUAGUUAUGUUCUUUAAAUUAAAAGAAUUUGGCGGUUAUUUAAUCUUUCUAGAGGAACCUGUCCUGUAAUUGAUAAUCCACGAUUGAUUUUACUUUAAUUAUACUUAUAUAUCGCUGUCAUUGAAUGUUUUAUAAGAUUAUUUUCUCUUAUUUUUAUGAAUAUAAUGUUAGGUCAAGAUGUAGUUAUAUUAAAGAAGAGAUGGGUUACAUUUAUAUAAUUAAUGGAUUGAAAUUUGAAAUAUUUUUUCAUUAAAUUGGAUUUAGGUGUAAUUUUUAUAAAAUAAUAAUUUUGAUUUUAGUUCUAAAUAAUGUACACAUCGCCCGUCACUCCCAUUAUGAGUUGGGAUAAGUCGUAACAAAGUAGGCCUACCGGAAGGUGGGCCUGGUUAGU
This 400-nucleotide ribosomal RNA is filed under the name Gerris gracilicornis. RNAcentral describes it as "partial 12S ribosomal RNA". Lineage: Eukaryota; Metazoa; Arthropoda; Insecta; Hemiptera; Gerridae. The record is from RNAcentral.